AUUUUUUUGUGGUUCAUACCAUAAUAAUUGUAUUUUCACACUAAUAUGUGAGAUGUGCCUUCCUCAAACAUUUUACAACAUCAGCACAUUACCUAUCUGAUG
Nycticebus coucang (slow loris) is the source of this 102-nucleotide small nucleolar RNA. RefSeq annotates it as small nucleolar RNA U13. Lineage: Eukaryota; Metazoa; Chordata; Mammalia; Primates; Lorisidae. The transcript has a single exon. The record is from RefSeq and is a predicted model, not a curated record.